This 557-nucleotide ribosomal RNA is filed under the name uncultured Glomus. RNAcentral's name for it is "SSU rRNA". It matches the Rfam family "Eukaryotic small subunit ribosomal RNA", at positions 546 to 1106 of the family's 1831-position model. Lineage: Eukaryota; Fungi; Glomeromycota; Glomeromycetes; Glomerales; Glomeraceae. The record is from RNAcentral.
AAUUGGAGGGCAAGUCUGGUGCCAGCAGCCGCGGUAAUUCCAGCUCCAAUAGCGUAUAUUAAAGUUGUUGCAGUUAAAAAGCUCGUAGUUGAAUUUCGGGAUCAGUAGGUUGGUCAUGCCUAUGGUAUGUACUGGCUUUACUGGUUCCUCCUUCUUGAUGAUCUGUAAUGUCAUUAAUUUGGUGUUGCAGGGAGUCAGGACUGUUACUUUGAAAAAAUUAGAGUGUUUAAAGCAGGCAUACGCUUGAAUACAUUAGCAUGGAAUAAUGAAAUAGGACGUUCGAUCCUAUUUUGUUGGUUUCUAGGAUUGACGUAAUGAUUAAUAGGGAUAGUUGGGGGCAUUAGUAUUCAAUUGUCAGAGGUGAAAUUCUUGGAUUUAUUGAAGACUAACUACUGCGAAAGCAUUUGCCAAGGAUGUUUUCAUUAAUCAAGAACGAAAGUUAGGGGAUCGAAGACGAUCAGAUACCGUCGUAGUCUUAACCAUAAACUAUGCCGACUAGGGAUCGGAUGAUGUUAUUUUUAAUGACUCAUUCGGCGCCUUACGGGAAACCAAAGUGU